UACGUAGGGAGCAAGCGUUGUCCGGAAUUACUGGGCGUAAAGGGUGCGUAGGCGGUUUGAUAAGUCAGAUGUGAAAUAUCCGGGCUUAACCCGGAGGGUGCAUUUGAAACUGUCAGACUUGAGUGCAGGAGAGGAAAGCGGAAUUCCUAGUGUAGCGGUGAAAUGCGUAGAUAUUAGGAGGAACACCAGUGGCGAAGGCGGCUUUCUGGACUGUAACUGACGCUGAGGCACGAAAGCGUGGGGAGCAAACA
RNAcentral lists this ribosomal RNA (251 nucleotides) under uncultured bacterium. RNAcentral's name for it is "partial 16S ribosomal RNA". It matches the Rfam family "Bacterial small subunit ribosomal RNA", at positions 524 to 774 of the family's 1533-position model. The record is from RNAcentral.